AGAGCGAACGCUGGCGGCAGGCCUAAAACAUGCAAGUCGAACGGACCCUUCGGGGUUAGUGGCGGACGGGUGAGUAACACGUGGGAACGUGCCUUUUGGUUCAGAACAACUCAGGGAAACUUGAGCUAAUACUGAAUAAGCCCUACGGGGGAAAGAUUUAUCGCCAUUAGAGCGGCCCGCGUUGGAUUAGCUAGUUGGUGAGGUAAAGGCUCACCAAGGCUACGAUCCAUAGCUGGUCUGAGAGGAUGAUCAGCCACACUGGGACUGAGACACGGCCCAGACUCCUACGGGAGGCAGCAGUUAGGAAUCUUGCGCAAUGGGCGAAAGCCUGACGCAGCCAUGCCGCGUGAAUGAUGAAGGUCUUAGGAUUGUAAAAUUCUUUCAGCGGGGAAGAUAAUGACUGUACCCGCAGAAGAAGCUCCGGCUAACUUCGUGCCAGCAGCCGC
This 446-nucleotide ribosomal RNA is filed under the name uncultured bacterium. RNAcentral describes it as "SSU rRNA". It matches the Rfam family "Bacterial small subunit ribosomal RNA", at positions 26 to 518 of the family's 1533-position model. The record is from RNAcentral.